Molecule: long non-coding RNA, 220 nt
Filed under: Hordeum vulgare
Lineage: Eukaryota; Viridiplantae; Streptophyta; Magnoliopsida; Poales; Poaceae
Description: long non-coding RNA (HVUL_LNC013770)
Source: RNAcentral
UGGCUCAGUACAGAGUAAUCAUGAACGCAAGCCCAACUACUCUGUGACAAGAUGGGCCCAAUCUUCAACUACAAAUCUUUCUCUCCGUGGUAAUCAAUCAUUGUCCAUAUUUUUGGUCUUAACGGAUUGCCGCUCACUUCUGCAUUUAAAUCGUCGGGGGGUGGGGACACACACGUAGCAUAUAUAUGUACAAUUAAGGAAUUAAUAUAGAAUAGCUAGU